Molecule: ribosomal RNA, 385 nt
Filed under: uncultured bacterium
Lineage: Bacteria
Description: bacterial SSU rRNA
Rfam family: Bacterial small subunit ribosomal RNA
Source: RNAcentral
AUUGAACGCUGGCGGCAUGCCUUACACAUGCAAGUCGAACGGCAGCGGGCCUUCGGGUGCCGGCGAGUGGCGAACGGGUGAGUAAUGCAUCGGAACGUGCCAUUGAGUGGGGGAUAACGUAGCGAAAGUUGCGCUAAUACCGCAUAUUCUGUGAGCAGGAAAGCAGGGGACCGCAAGGCCUUGCGCUUUUUGAGCGGCCGAUGUCAGAUUAGCUAGUUGGUGAGGUAAAGGCUUACCAAGGCGACGAUCUGUAGCGGGUCUGAGAGGAUGAUCCGCCACACUGGAACUGAGACACGGUCCAGACUCCUACGGGAGGCAGCAGUGGGGAAUUUUGGACAAUGGGGGCAACCCUGAUCCAGCCAUGCCGCGUGAGUGAAGAAGGCCU